This 321-nucleotide ribosomal RNA is filed under the name uncultured bacterium. RNAcentral's name for it is "bacterial SSU rRNA". It matches the Rfam family "Bacterial small subunit ribosomal RNA", at positions 29 to 377 of the family's 1533-position model. The record is from RNAcentral.
AACGAACGCUGGCGGCAGGCCUCAAACAUGCAAGUCUAGGGGUGCAGCAAUGCAUCACCGGCGGACGGGUGCGUAACGCGUGGGAAUAUACCUUUUGGUUCGGAACAACUGCGGGAAACUGCAGCUAAUACCGAAUGUGCCCUAACGGGGAAAGAUUUAUCGCCAAAGGAUUAGCCCGCGUAGGAUUAGCUAGUUGGUGAGGUAAUCGGCUCACCAAGGCUCCGAUCCUUAGCGUUCUGAGAGGAAGAUCAGCCACACUGGACUGAGACACGGCCCAGACUCCUACGGGAGGCAGCAGUUGGGAAUCUUGGACAAUGGGGG